RNAcentral lists this long non-coding RNA (1921 nucleotides) under Populus trichocarpa (black cottonwood). RNAcentral describes it as "long non-coding RNA (PTRI_LNC002324)". The record is from RNAcentral. Lineage: Eukaryota; Viridiplantae; Streptophyta; Magnoliopsida; Malpighiales; Salicaceae.
CACUGAUCAGGACUGCACGCAAAGAGCAGAGAGAGAGAGAGAGUAUCAAAACUAGCAAAAAAUGAUGCUAAAAAAAGCUGUCAUCCUUCUUUCUUUGAUCUGCAUUUCGAUUGCUGGUGUUUCUGGUCAAGCACCAGCAACGUCACCAACAGCAACACCAGCACCACCCACACCAACUUCUUCUCCACCGCCAGCAACCACUCCUCCACCAGUUUCAGCCCCACCUCCUGUUACCCAAUCUCCACCUCCAGCUACCCCUCCUCCAGUUUCAGCCCCACCACCUGCCACCCCUCCUCCCGCAACCCCACCACCAGCAACUCCUCCUCCCGCCACCCCACCACCAGCAACCCCACCACCUGCUACUCCUCCACCAGCAACCCCUCCUCCCGCUGUUCCUCCACCAGCUCCAUUGGCAGCUCCACCAGCUCUUGUUCCAGCUCCAGCUCCCAGCAAGCCUAAGUUGAAGUCUCCAGCUCCAUCUCCCCUGGCAUUGAGUCCUCCAUCUCCACCAACUGGCGCUCCUGCUCCAAGUUUGGGUGCUUCCUCUCCUGGACCCGCUGGAACCGAUAUGGUAAGUCCAUUAUUGAUCCCCAUCUAUAUUCUCAUAUGAUUAUAUUUUGCUAAGCAUUUAUGUGAUCUGGUAAUUUAGUUCAACGUACCCUUUAAAUUUAACAAAUAUGAUCAGUCAUUUGCUCUAUUAAAAAAAAAAAAGUUUUAUUCAUGCACAGUUAAUCUCUUUUUUUUUUUAAUAUCAGAUUUCUAAUGUUGCUAAUUUCUUUAUAUUCAAUGUAACUGCAUUGCUGAAUCUUUUGUUUGAAAACUUGCUAGAUGUCCUAGUACCAUAGCUGGUAGUAGUUAAUUUAGUUAGGAUCUGGCGCAAUGCAGACAAAAUACUGUGUAGUUUGCUAUUGUAAACCGGAGUGUUGUUAGUGCUGCAGGGAAUUGUUUGUUUUUAUAUUUUAAAAGUGCAAGAGAUUGAAAAUUUUUAUUUUUUUUUAAAUUAAUAAAUUUUUGAUAUUUUUAUACCAUAGCUAAUUUUAAAAAUAAUAUUUUAAAAAAAAAUUAAUAAAAAAUAUUUUAAAAAACAUCUACAACCAUUCUUACAAACGAAUAAUAAUUCCCGAUGCUGCUGCCUCUCUCGGGUCUAGGUCUUGGGCUCUGCUUGAUGUGGUUAUUACCCGGUGUGAAUAUAACUAGAUUCGGAUUAAGAAUUGUGCACCAACAAGCAGUAGCUGUUUACAGAUCUGAUUUCAAAUUCAAUGUUUGACCUGAUUUGAUUAAAAUGAAAUGAAUCCAUUAUAUUUUAAAUCAGGGAAAUACAAUAAUAAUAAUAAAAAAAAAAAAAAGUACUGUAUGUGCAAGACGCGGAAUCCCGAGGACUUCCUGUGCUGUCUUCGCAGGGAGGACCACCCCUCUUCUGCUCAAUUGCAGGGCUUAUAGAAAAAAUAAAAUAUAAGUGUUUUUGGGCUCAAAUAACUGUCCAAAAUCGCAAGUUGGGUUGCAUUCAAUGGGGUCCACCGAUUUAUAUUUGGGCCUUGGGCCUUAUCGGGUCCAGCUGCGGUCCAUUACCGUCCCAAUUAAUUGCUUGAUUAGUUUUGUAUACGCAAGCAAUUAUGGUGGUUUCCCAUGCUUAAUUGCAUAGCCUACCAGAGGUGGGUUUUUACUUCUUAGCGUGUAAAUGUUGUGUCUGUAAUGUUUUGACCUUUUUUCCCACAAAAACUGUGUUGUUGCAGAGUGGAGUAGAGAAGAUGGGGUCCGUGCAGAAGAUGGUCCUGAGCCUGGUCUUUGGAUCAGCAUUCUGGUUGCUAACUUAGACAUAUCAUCUUUGUGUCUCAGUUUUUAAUUUUAUUUUUAUUUUUUUUUAAUUUCUGCUGUUGUCUACAUAUAUUACUGGCUGCCAUUUUAGCCCCUGCGCGGUGAU